CAGCAGCCGCGGGAAAACGAAGGGGGCUAGCGUUGCACGGAAUGACUGGGCGUAAAGGGCGCGUAGGCGGCGAUCAAAGUCAGGCGUGAAAUUCCUGGGCUCAACCUGGGGGCUGCGCUUGAUACUUGGUUGCUUGAGUGGGGAAGAGGGUCGUGGAAUUCCUAGUGUAGAGGUGAAAUUCGUAGAUAUUGGGAAGAACACCGGUGGCGAAGGCGGCGACCUGGUCCUUGACUGACGCUGAGGCGCGAAAGCGUGGGGAGCAAACAGGAUUAGAUACCCCCGUAGUCCCUGUCUCUUAUAC
Molecule: ribosomal RNA, 301 nt
Filed under: uncultured bacterium
Lineage: Bacteria
Description: partial 16S ribosomal RNA
Rfam family: Bacterial small subunit ribosomal RNA
Source: RNAcentral